AAAACUUUCAACAACGGAUCUCUUGGCUCUGGCAUCGAUGAAGAACGCAGCGAAAUGCGAUAAGUAAUGUGAAUUGCAGAAUUCAGUGAAUCAUCGAAUCUUUGAACGCACAUUGCGCCCGCCAGCACUCUGGCGGGCAUGCCUGUCCGAGCGUCAUUUACCACCCUCGGGCCCCCUGGGGGGCCCGGUGCUGGGG
This 196-nucleotide ribosomal RNA is filed under the name Drechmeria sinensis. Its description in RNAcentral is "5.8S ribosomal RNA". The stretch from base 3 to 156 matches the Rfam family "5.8S ribosomal RNA". From Rfam's summary of the family: 5.8S ribosomal RNA (5.8S rRNA) is a component of the large subunit of the eukaryotic ribosome. It is transcribed by RNA polymerase I as part of the 45S precursor that also contains 18S and 28S rRNA. Functionally, it is thought that 5.8S rRNA may be involved in ribosome translocation. The record is from RNAcentral. Lineage: Eukaryota; Fungi; Ascomycota; Sordariomycetes; Hypocreales; Ophiocordycipitaceae.